CUUAUCUCCGUGCGUGUCAUAACUCUGUCCGACGCACCGAGCGCUAGCCUAGCUUAGCACAGAUCCUGGAGGUAACCGGCUCCAUCUAGCCUACUGCUCCCAAUAAGU
This is a long non-coding RNA of Sander lucioperca (pikeperch), 108 nucleotides long. RefSeq lists it as uncharacterized. The transcript is spliced from 2 exons. NCBI's taxonomy places the organism in Eukaryota, Metazoa, Chordata, Actinopteri, Perciformes, Percidae. The record is from RefSeq and is a predicted model, not a curated record.